ACGAACGCUGGCGGCGUGCCUAAUACAUGCACGUCGAACGCUUCUUUCCUCCCGAGUGCUUGCACUCAAUUGGAAAGAGGAGUGGCGGACGGGUGAGUAACACGUGGGUAACCUACCCAUCAGAGGGGGAUAACACUUGGAAACAGGUGCUAAUACCGCAUAACAGUUUAUGCCGCAUGGCAUAAGAGUGAAAGGCGCUUUCGGGUGUCGCUGAUGGAUGGACCCGCGGUGCAUUAGCUAGUUGGUGAGGUAACGGCUCACCAAGGCCACGAUGCAUAGCCGACCUGAGAGGGUGAUCGGCCACACUGGGACUGAGACACGGCCCAGACUCCUACGGGAGGCAGCAGUAGGGAAUCUUCGGCAAUGGACGAAAGUCUGACCGAGCAACGCCGCGUGAGUGAAGAAGGUUUUCGGAUCGUAAAACUCUGUUGUUAGAGAAGAACAAGGACGUUAGUAACUGAACGUCCCCUGACGGUAUCUAACCAGAAAGCCACGGCUAACUACGUG
RNAcentral lists this ribosomal RNA (507 nucleotides) under uncultured bacterium. RNAcentral describes it as "partial 16S ribosomal RNA". It matches the Rfam family "Bacterial small subunit ribosomal RNA", at positions 29 to 507 of the family's 1533-position model. The record is from RNAcentral.